Sinocyclocheilus grahami is the source of this 3940-nucleotide long non-coding RNA. RefSeq lists it as uncharacterized. The record is from RefSeq and is a predicted model, not a curated record. Lineage: Eukaryota; Metazoa; Chordata; Actinopteri; Cypriniformes; Cyprinidae. The transcript is spliced from 3 exons.
UAAACACCGAAUCAUUAAACACCGCGUAUGAUUCUCGAGAUCACACCAAAAUGUUUGUUUUUACUCAUAAGGAGACAUUCCGACAGCAAAACGAACCGAAAAGCAGAGUUUUCCACCAAUGUCAAGCGAGAUAACAAAUUCGACGCUUUCUUGGCAAAACAUCACAUUUUACUUCAACUUCACAUGACGUCACCGCCGCCACACAAGACAUUUCUAAACUUUCUGCCUGUAACGACAUGUGCAGCUCGAGACCUAACACACGGCUCCGCCGGUUCAAAUGAGCCAAGAUGGCGUGAGGCUUGUUGUUUAGAGGGCAGAAAAAAUGGAGGAUAUUGUAAUAUACACAAAGGGAUACAUUUCAACAACUCGGCCAGGCGGCAGCUGCUGCUCUUUAAGGAAGCAACAAAGAUAAGAGCAACGCGACGCUCCAGCGCAACGCCAGCGACCCGCUCCGACCGAGCAGGCGAUUUCCCCGUCGAAACUACCAAACCGUGUGCUUUUAUCAAAAGGAAUUGUAAAGUAAAUGCUUUUAUCAUGUUGUCUCAAAUGAAGAGCUGUUAGCUUUUGCCAUCAUCUGAGAGACGGACAUUAAACAGACCAAAGAGAUGAAGCCGGGUGAAAAGGGAUGCUUAUGGAGGGACAUGGACAGGCAGGCAGACCUCCGGGGAUCAGCGCUCCGGAGAGUGGGAGGACAAGAUGAGACGAUGGUGUGCAAAACGUGCAUCUAAACAUGUGUGCAUACAGUCCAUGUUUAUCUGUGAUCAUCAGACCACCCCGGCCACAGUGCAUCAUCCCUAUGUGGGGAAAGUCUUGUUAAUAUGGCGGCGAUGAGGUAAACAGAUAGGAAGUGAUGGAGUGGCAGACCCACGGGGGAUAACCACAUGAGGGGUGACAGACCACUGACAUCAGCUCUUGUUCUCUUGCCUUGCUCGCUUGCUCUCUCCAUCUCUCUCUUCUCCACACACACUCAUUUCCAGGAAGGGGUCAUUAAUGUGAGGGAAAAAAACUGAAUCCAGUCAUGGCUUUAAAAUGGAGUAUCUUCUCAUAGAGAUGCAAUCAUUCCUAACGGGUCUGAGUCAGGCUGCAGUUCUCACAAGAGAACAGCACAAAGAAGCUUUUAAUUCCUCCAUUUAGAGACAAAAUACAUCAUUUAUCAUUAAAGCACUGUUUGGAGGGGAAAAGAGUACUUUUUAGAUUUUAUUUGAGAGUAGCUCCCUAAAGUGGUUAGCAGGGUUCAACUUAACCUGACCAAUAAACCGAGAAAAUGAUCCGCUUUUCGUUCUCUUUAACGCACCAGCCCUCUUAUAAAACUACAGCAGCGGUUCCAACAUCCAUACAGUAGUUAAAUGUUCACAUUUAACAGUCGUAAUUGACAUUUUCCCUCGCUCCCUUCAGCAAUGAUAUAUCAAAGAGUGCAUCAGCCGCCGGAGGAGGAGAGAAAACAUUAGGAGGAUUAAUAAAGGGGGGGAGGAAAAUAGAUUGAGCGUUCACCAAGAUCAGUAAAAUAGGAUCUGUCAAGCAACCCUGAAACAUCCAUCCUGUGGAAAAAAAAGACAGAGGUACAUUUUCAUGGAUGGAAGGAAGGAAAAACAGGACAGCCCGUGCGGCUGAUCAAUUUCCCUAGAUUAGCUUUCAGCGGCUGUGCCCGCUUCCAUUUGUAAAGAUAAUAUUAUGUAAUAACCCUUUUGAGCGACUAUUUAAAUUAUCAUACUGCCUACAGUGCAAGGCGCUAAUGGAAAUAUUUAACAUAAAUUCACUUAAAAAAAUGAUGCCUUUAACAACAGUUGUAAGAAUUAUUCUGAAAUUAAAGGAGUGUGCAUAAAUGAUUCUCCCUGGCCUUGACUCGCUGUUCUCAAUUACAUUCUGCUCAACUGGAACAAUGGAACGAUGCUAGCACGGCGCUUUAUCGCGCAUAUAUAUGCGCUGUUACGAAUGUCAUAUGGAAGCUAUUUAUGGCCACAAGCAUCGGUGCCAAGGGCAUAGAAAACAGGGAUGUUAUUGAAUCAAUUCAGAAUGUGCAAAGGAGCAGUGCGACGAUAGAUCAGGUAGAGCCCAGCCGUUGCUGGGUUCCACUUGAAAAACGAUAGCUUGGCUUUUGUUGUGCGCCUUCAAAGACAGGCAUCUGAAAACCCCAAAUGAAGAGACAAAGCUUUAAGCAUUCCUCAGUCUUCUUCGCCUUCUACAAACUCUUUAAUGAUCUUAUUUCAAAACACCUUCCUGCGGACCUCCCCUUUCCUGUCUGGCUAACGCCAAAUUGCAUAAUGCCCAACUGAACGCUCGCAUUUGUUCUCUCUUUCCUUCUCAGGAAAUCUAUUUAAAUUUUCACGCCAACUGUCAGUCCGAAUCAAACCUUGAUUUAUGCAAAAACAACGUCUGCUUUAAUUAGACAUUUCUCCUCACUGUGCUCUAGGCGGCAAGCGGGGUUAGACAUUCGGAGGAACCUCCUUUUUGUAUGAUCAAAACUAGGCCAUCAGCAACACCAUGAUAAUAGCCACGUCUCAACACCCUAGCAACAUACGAGAGUGUUUUUAUCCCCCAUGAGCCAUCCAUCUCCACUCAGCAGGGUGGUUUUGGGUGGAGCACGGAUAAUCACAGCAGUCACUAUACACCUGGAGGACUGGAAAAUAAUAAACAACUAACAGGUAGAUUUUCCCCAUCAGCUCUUUAUACUUUGCCAGGCACUCGAGAAAGAGAGAAAAAAGGAAAAGGAGGAAUGUUUAAGCAGCAAAAUUACAUUAAUCAAGAAAAAUUAGCUGGAAUCCACCACAUAAUGCACUUGUGCUGGAUUAACGUCCGUGAUCUUCAAAACGAAAGUAAACCAUGUGUUUUUGCUCGUUUUGGAUUGCGACACUUCUUGAUUAUCCCAAUUGCAAUCAUGUAACAAAACAAAACAAAAGUGGCUGAAACCUCGUGCUAAUUUCACAGGCUGACAUUUCGGAUGGAAAAUGCACCAAACAGAUGCUCAGAAGAGAGUGACUCUCUUGUCAGAUGUUGGGGAAGUGCGUGUGAGUAACUACAAUCACAUGAAUAGGGCAGACAAACAUAUUCUCACAACCAAUUCUAUUUUGGGGUCUGUGCGCUGCUUUGCUGACUGAAGUGGCAUUCUGUCCUUUGUGAAAGCAUGACCCUCUGAGGUGCGUUCAUGUGCUGUGAACCUCAGCCGGGGGGGAGCAAGAGGUUGGAGACCAGGGGAAGGCGUGGGAAAGCGACUAGAGAACGAGCGAACGGAGGCCGGUGGAAAAGCCGAGCGGUCUGCAGGCAUUCCUUUGUGAUUAGGCUGCACAUCUGUGGAGAAACAGGCCAGACAUUCUUUCAGCCGUGUCUGAUUCUGCUGACUUCUACCCUUGAUCACUUCGCUGUUGUUUUUUCUUAUCAGUAAAAAAAGAAACUCAGCUGUGAACCUUUUAUUUGGUGACUGCAGACUCCGUUUCCUAAUACGCGGUCUGAAUCAGCCCCUUUUAACUUUUGUGCUUGGAUUUAAAGUACCAAAAAUCAACCAGGGAGUGGAAGCUUGUGUCCUUGCUCUCAAAAAAGAUAUGAGAUUUCAACGCCGGGCACCCAUGUACAGUGCUUCCUUCCUCUUUUGCAAACAUAAACCUCAGAACCCUUCCUUAAUCCAGUCAUCCACCGGUCGGAGGCCGAACAUGACAGCAGACGGACAAGGCAAACACUGGUGGGGGUGGUGCUUGUGUUCCGUCUUUGUUCUGAUGGUGACCUCUUCAUUAUAGGGCCUUUGUCACCAUGUAAGGAUUAAGAGUGAAAGAGAGCGCUUCCUCUGUUAGGCAGGGCUCAAAUCUGGCUCCUAAUAAAACGCUCUUCCAUAUGUGCACAUCAGGGUGUGUUUUAAAGAUGUUUCCUCUCAUCCUGCUCUUUAAAAAUGGAUUUGAGUACACAGUGGUGGACUUCUGUAAAGUAAAUCCGUUAUUAAAUAAGUAGCUUA